GGGAGGGGGGGCAAGCGUUGUUCGGAAUUACUGGGCGUAAAGGGCGCGGUAGGCGGUAUGCCGUGUCAGGGGGUGAAAGGGCCUGGGCUCAACCCAGGAACUGCCUUUGAAACUGGCAAACUAGAGUCCGAUAGAGGAUGGCGGAAUUCCCAGUGUAGAGGUGAAAUUCGUAGAUAUUGGGAAGAACACCAGUGGCGAAGGCGGCCAUCUGGAUCGGCACUGACGCUGAGGCGCGAAAGCGUGGGGAGCAAACAGGAUUAGAUACCCUGGUAGUCCACGCCGUAAACGAUGUGUGCUAGACGUUGGGGGUCUUAGACCCUGGGUGUCGUAGCUAACGCGUUAAGCACACCGCCUGGGGAGUACGGCCGCAAGGUUA
RNAcentral lists this ribosomal RNA (376 nucleotides) under uncultured organism. RNAcentral's name for it is "partial 16S ribosomal RNA". It matches the Rfam family "Bacterial small subunit ribosomal RNA", at positions 524 to 896 of the family's 1533-position model. The record is from RNAcentral.